Molecule: ribosomal RNA, 288 nt
Filed under: uncultured bacterium
Lineage: Bacteria
Description: partial 16S ribosomal RNA
Rfam family: Bacterial small subunit ribosomal RNA
Source: RNAcentral
AAUCAACGCUGGCGGCGUGCCUAACACAUGCAAGUCGCACGAGAAAGGGGAGCAAUCCCUGAGUAAAGUGGCGCACGGGUGAGUAACACGUGAAUUAUCUACCUCCGAGUGGGGAAUAACUGAGAGAAAUCUUAGCUAAUACCGCAUAACACUUACGAGUCAAAGCAGCAAUGCGCUUGGAGAGGAGUUCGCGGCCGAUUAGUUAGUUGGCGGGGUAAUGGCCCACCAAGACGAUGAUCGGUAUCCGGCCUGAGAGGGCNCACGGACACACUGGAACUGAAACACGGU